Molecule: microRNA precursor, 95 nt
Filed under: Marmota monax (woodchuck)
Lineage: Eukaryota; Metazoa; Chordata; Mammalia; Rodentia; Sciuridae
Source: RNAcentral
AUGUGAAUCACCUGAGAUCUUUAUUGAAAUGCAGUUUGGGUCCAGCCUGAAGCCUGAGAGUCUUCAGUUCUAACAAGCUCCCAGGUGAUGCUGAC